RNAcentral lists this ribosomal RNA (540 nucleotides) under Triticum aestivum (bread wheat). Its description in RNAcentral is "partial small subunit ribosomal RNA". Lineage: Eukaryota; Viridiplantae; Streptophyta; Magnoliopsida; Poales; Poaceae. The record is from RNAcentral.
AUGACCAUGUCUCCUUCCAUCUGCCUAGCCAUCUUGCUGCUUGCACUGGUCUCGCAGUCGCCAGCAUCAGCCAGCAUCCCCGGCACUAGCAACAACGGCUUCGCCGUCGCAGCCCCUAGCGUACCCACGGCGACUCAGUUCCUGCAGGCGCACAACGACGCGCGCCGCGAUGUCGGCGUGGCACCCCUGACGUGGAACUCGACGCUGGAGCAGGACGCCCAGCGGUACGCGGACCGGCUCAGCAUCGGCUGCAAGCUGGAGCCACUAGACAUCGAGCUGAUCUACCUGCAGAACACCUACAACGGCAGCGGUUACCAAGAUGGCGCCGCCGUCACCGCCUCGUGGGUGAACGGGCGGCGGUGGUACGACUACCGCGCUAACGCAUGCGUGCCCGGCCACGACUGCGGGGCCUACAAGCUGAUGGUGUGCAGCACCGUGCAAGAGCUCGGCUGCGCCCGCCGCACCUGCCGGAGCAGCCCCGACACCGUCGCUGUUUGCAGCUACUUCCCUGACUGCGACUACAACGACCGGCCAUACUGA